Molecule: ribosomal RNA, 467 nt
Filed under: uncultured bacterium
Lineage: Bacteria
Description: partial 16S ribosomal RNA
Rfam family: Bacterial small subunit ribosomal RNA
Source: RNAcentral
GAUGAACGCUGACAGAAUGCUUAACACAUGCAAGUCAACUUGAAUUUGGGUUUUUAACUUAGGUUUGGGUGGCGGACGGGUGAGUAACGCGUAAAGAACUUGCCUCACAGCUAGGGACAACAUUUGUAAACGAAUGCUAAUACCUAAUAUUAUGAUAAUAGGGCAUCCUAUAAUUAUGAAAGCUAUAAGCGCUGUGAUAGAGCUUUGCGUCACAUUAGCUAGUUGGAGAGGUAACGGCUCACCAAGGCGAUGAUGGGUAGCCGGCCUGAGAGGGUGAUCGGCCACAAGGGGACUGAGACACGGACCUUACUCAUACGGGAGGCAGCAGUGGGGAAUAUUGGACAAAGGACCGAGAGUCUGAUCAAGCAAUUCUGUGUGCACGAUGAAGUUUUUAGGAAUGUAAAGUGCUUUCAGUUGGGAAGAAACAAAUGACGGUACCAACAGAAGAAGUGACGGCUAAAUACGUG